UUUCCGCAAGUACCCGGGGGCCCUUAAAAUCACUUCCUCGCCUGGCCGCGGCCUGGUCUCCGCUUUCGUUUUGCGUCCCGCCUAAGUUCAGGGGUUUAAGGAGUGGCCGCCCGAUUUGCUCACCCUCGUAGCCGUCCAUCAUCACGCCGCUCGCAUCCAUCCUUCUUUUCAACCCCUCUCUCUCCCUGUCCCUCUUCUAAACCCUUCCUCUCUCUCUCUCUAUUAACAAAAAAACUCCAGAACCGAGGGAGACGAACCCUAGUCAAGAAUCAAGAUGAGUUACGCCGCCUUACAAGAUGAUGCACUGGGCCGACCGGGAUCGAGAACUGCGCCGCUGGAUUCAUCACCCACUCGCUGGUGGACUUCGCCGCCCAGAUCGCCCCCAUCCAAGNNNNNNNNNNNNNNNNNNNNUUUGUCUCACCCUCCGUAGCCGUCCCACUCAUCACGCCGCUCGCAUCCACUCCUUCCUUUUCUAACCCCUACCUCUCUCCCUCGUCCCUCCUUCUAACCUUACCUCUCUCUCUCUCUAUUCAAAAAAAAACUCCAGAACCAGGGAGAGAAACCCUAGUCAAGAAUCAAGAUGAGUUACGCCGCCUUCAAGAUGAUGCACUGGGCCACCGGGAUCGAGAACUGCGCCGCUGGAUUC
RNAcentral lists this long non-coding RNA (646 nucleotides) under Elaeis guineensis (African oil palm). Its description in RNAcentral is "long non-coding RNA (EGUI_LNC009347)". The record is from RNAcentral. Lineage: Eukaryota; Viridiplantae; Streptophyta; Magnoliopsida; Arecales; Arecaceae.